ACUGAUAAACAUAAAGAACCACAUCUCUGUUUCUGUGGUUCAACUUAAGAUACUGAAACCUGAAGUUGUCUGUUUUGUCUCAUCUGUUCAGCAGUUAUUGAUGUGUUGUCAUCACUGUUGUCUACUCUGACUUCUAGAUGAAAUUACGUUUGUAUAGUCAAAGUCUGGUUCUCUAAGCUCUCUAGCCAUCAUUAAACAGGCGCACUGUGAGAUUAUUCCUGCAAAAAACUAUUAAUGUGUGAAAAAGCUUGAUUCAUUUUAGAAGCUUUUGCACAAACUAGACAGUGUUUUGAACAGAUAUUGUAUAUCAUAAAAACAAAGUUCAUUUACAGUGACUUGCAAAAGUUUAUACCCCCUCAAACUUUUUCACAUUUUGUCUCACAUUUGCUGUGCAUUUUAUAUUCAACCCCCUUUACUGUGAUACCCCUAAUUAAAUCAAUUUGCUUUCAGAAGUCACCUAAUUAGUAAGUACAAACUUAGAGUGUCUGCAAAAAGUAUUCACCCCCUUGGCAUAUUUUAUGUUUGCCUCACAACCUGGAAUUAAAAUUGAUUGUUUGAAAGGUUACAUUAUUUAAUUUACAGAAUAUGCCUCUAACCGGGCUGGGCGUGUCACCUCCUGCUGCACCUCCUUGCAGGUGCAGCUCAUCAGGUGCAAUCAGCCUCAUUCCACUGGCAGCAUAAAGGAGCAGGAAGCCAGUCACUCUUCGCCUGAGUGUUAACCCUCACCGGUAUUACCCAGUUCCAAUUCCUACGUGCAGUUUUUCCUGUGAACUUACCUCCAUCAUUACAAGGACCUCCCAUUGUUACCUAGAUCACGCUCCCACAACUGGCUUCCGUUCCGCUGACCAACCAAUCCAUCUUCAACCUCGUCUUCUGCACUACCAGUUCGCCCAGCACCACUACAGUCUUCAUUACCCUCUGGAUUUCAUCAACGCUAUGGAACAAACAUCCAUUUACCGGACUCCCCGCUAUUAACAACCCCAUCGACCACUCACCUUCCCCCCGGCGGACCAUCAUACAUCAUCUGGAAAAAGAUGCCGGUUUUGUUUGGAUCUCCUUCUGACCUCCAGGGACUCCGACGCCAGACUCCUCUGUCUACCUAAAACUUCUAAACAGGGUUUAGAGGCUGGAAAGACGGAUUCCAGGUUGUACCAAAUCUUCGCUCGAUGUCCCCGGAAUAAAUCAGCCAAGGAAAUCCCACUUCUGACACCAACUGUAAAUGCAAAAUGUAAAAAUGCACCCCAAUAAAUUCAGUAAAUAAGGGAGAUUGCUGAGAAUCAAAAUGGCAAUUCUUGCAAGAAUUGAGAACGGACAGAGGAUGCAAUCAAACCAGUGUCUCAGUCUGCCCACUCUGCUCUAGACAGGAACUCACUAGCUUUUUAGAGGUCAUUCACAAGCUGAGAAUGUAAUUAACAAUACACAAAAGACAAGGAGAUAAAACAUCCCUUGAGCAUCAGAUAUCUAACCCCAAAGAGAAGAGAGGGAUGUUCUCUUGGGCAAGCAAAACCUCCAUAUCAGGAAAGCCUUGC
This is a long non-coding RNA of Girardinichthys multiradiatus, 1529 nucleotides long. RefSeq lists it as uncharacterized. The record is from RefSeq and is a predicted model, not a curated record. The transcript is spliced from 3 exons. Lineage: Eukaryota; Metazoa; Chordata; Actinopteri; Cyprinodontiformes; Goodeidae.